CCCACCCGGGCCGCCGCCUGCAUACCCAGCCCCCGGUCCCCGCCCUUCCCGGGUCAGGCCGGUGCGGGUGGGCCAGCGGACCGCGGGUGGGCGGGGCGGGCGCCGGGGCCGGGCGGUCGCUAGGUGUGGGAGGCUCCCUGGGCGCGGGCCGGGGCGCGGGGCGCCCGCCUUACACCCCGGCCUGUGGAGGGGUCCCGGGGCCGCAGGGCCGCUGGUGGCGAUCUCUUCUGCGCCACCCCGGACUCUGCGGGGUGUCCGACUAGGCUUCGGCCGUCCUCCCCGGACUGUGCGCUCGGCCUCACUCCGCCGCUCUCCUUGCUUCUCUGCGUCUCGGGGUCUCUGACACUUGGGGUUUCUGCGCCCCGCCCCCGCCCCGCAGACGUGUCCCGGGCGGUUGAGCUCCUCGAGCGGCUCCAGCGCAGCGGGGAGCUGCCGCCGCAGAAGCUGCAGGCCCUCCAGCGAGUUCUGCAGAGCCGCUUCUGCUCCGCUAUCCGAGAGGUGUAUGAACAGCUUUAUGACACGCUGGACAUCACCGGCAGCGCCGAGAUCCGAGCCCAUGCCACAGCCAAGGCCACAGUGGCUGCCUUCACAGCCAGCGAGGGCCACGCACAUCCCAGGGUAGUGGAGCUACCCAAGACGGAUGAGGGCCUAGGCUUCAACAUCAUGGGUGGCAAAGAGCAAAACUCGCCCAUCUACAUCUCCCGGGUCAUCCCAGGGGGUGUGGCUGACCGCCACGGAGGCCUCAAGCGUGGGGAUCAACUGUUGUCGGUGAACGGUGUGAGCGUUGAGGGUGAGCAGCAUGAGAAAGCGGUGGAGCUGCUGAAGGCGGCCCAGGGCUCGGUGAAGCUGGUUGUCCGUUACACGCCGCGAGUGCUGGAGGAGAUGGAGGCCCGGUUCGAGAAGAUGCGCUCUGCCCGCCGGCGCCAACAGCAUCAGAGCUACUCGUCCUUGGAGUCUCGAGGUUGAAACCACAGAUCUGGACGUUCACGUGCACUCUCUUCCUGUACAGUAUUUAUUGUUCCUGGCACUUUAUUUAAAGAUAUUUGACCCUCA
RNAcentral lists this small RNA (1053 nucleotides) under Pongo abelii (Sumatran orangutan). RNAcentral's name for it is "retained intron". Lineage: Eukaryota; Metazoa; Chordata; Mammalia; Primates; Hominidae. The record is from RNAcentral.